UAGAUAUUUUUAGGAUAUUUAUGUAUCUAAUAAUAUCUUCUUCUUUUUUUUAUAUUAUAUUUUAUACAUAUUCCAUAUAUAUACUAAUAUAACUUGGUAGGUAAAAAAAAUUCCCCAACUCUUUCACUUUUCUCUCUAUCUCUCUUGGUCUCUCUCUCUCUUUUUCUUGAUUUUUCUUCUUUUAGUUUUAUUUUCUUUUGUUAAUUUUAGUUUUAUUUUGAGAAUCAAGUGAAUAUAGCAAGGAGAUCAUUAAGGAAAGCUUGAAGAAUACAUUGAAGGAAUUACAAUUCGUAUUUAAAAGGAUUUUAUCUCAACUUUUGUAUUCCUUUCAUUUAGUUCUUCAUGUUUGUAAUGAUAUGUUUAUGAGAAUGUCUUUGUUAUUUUGUUAGAAUGAUGAACUAAACAAGUUUAUGUUGGAAUUUAUGUAUUAGCUUAACCUAUUUUCAUUAAUAUCGUGUUAUAUGUUGUUAGAUAUGCAUUUGUUAUCAAAAUAUUGGUGUAUUAAUUAUCAUGUUUAAGAUUACUACAUUUAUUUGACGUCAAUAGAUGUUGUGGUUAGGUAGUUGCGUAAUUAUUGAAAAAUAGUUGCACAUAAUGGACUGAAAUAAUUAAUACCAUAGGUUUGUAUGGUUUCGACUACACGCGUUUAGGUAUCCAGACAUGUAUACCUACCCUAUGUGACCCGUUGAGUUAUUUUCACAAAAAUUGAAUGCAG
Molecule: long non-coding RNA, 715 nt
Filed under: Olea europaea (common olive)
Lineage: Eukaryota; Viridiplantae; Streptophyta; Magnoliopsida; Lamiales; Oleaceae
Description: long non-coding RNA (OEUR_LNC009718)
Source: RNAcentral